AUAUUAAUAAGGGGAGGAAAAGAAACUAACUAGGAUUCCCUCAGUAAUGGCGAAUGAAGUGGGAACAGCUCAGGUUUAAAAUCUGGUAGCAAUCUUGCUGCCCGAAUUGUAGUCUUUUGGAUGGUCAUAGGAGUAUGCACUGGCACAAGUCCGUUGGAAUGCGGCGCCUUAGAGGGUGAGAGCCCCGUAGAUGGCCAGCUGACAACUUGUACUCCGUAAAUUGAUCGUUCGUAGAGUCGGGUUGUUUGGGAAUGCAGCCUUAACUGCGAGGUAAAUUCCUUGCAAAGCUAAAUACAGGCAUGAGACCGAUAGCGAACAAGUAGAGUGAUCGAAAGAUGAAAAGAACUUUGAAAAGAGGGUUAAAAGUACGUGAAAUCGCUAAAAGGGAAGCGAUUGGGUUCAGUAUGGGUACGCCUCUGAAUCGUGUACCGUGUAGGUAUAAGAUGAUACGGAGAGUGUUGGUUUACACCUGAUACAUCCGUGUCGUAUGAAGCCUUCGUCGGUGCACUACUUUUGGGGCGUACUAGUCAGCAUCGGUUCGCUUGUGUUGGCGACAGAAAAGCUGGGGAAUGGUAGGCCGCCUUCGGGUGGCUGAAUGCCCUGGUCGAUUUUGG
This 614-nucleotide ribosomal RNA is filed under the name uncultured fungus. RNAcentral's name for it is "eukaryotic LSU rRNA". It matches the Rfam family "Eukaryotic large subunit ribosomal RNA", at positions 40 to 582 of the family's 3401-position model. Lineage: Eukaryota; Fungi. The record is from RNAcentral.